UACAGAGGUCUCAAGCGUUGUUCGGAUUCAUUGGGCGUAAAGGGCGCGUAGGCUGCGGGGCAAGUCGGGUGUGAAAUCUCAGAGCUCAACUCUGAAACUGCACUCGAUACUGCUUUGCUCGAGGACUGGAGAGGAGAUUGGAAUUUACGGUGUAGCAGUGAAAUGCGUAGAUAUCGUAAGGAAGACCAGUGGCGAAGGCGAAUCUCUGGACAGUUACUGACACUGAGGCUCGAAGGCCAGGGGAGCAAACGGG
RNAcentral lists this ribosomal RNA (253 nucleotides) under uncultured bacterium. RNAcentral describes it as "partial 16S ribosomal RNA". It matches the Rfam family "Bacterial small subunit ribosomal RNA", at positions 524 to 776 of the family's 1533-position model. The record is from RNAcentral.